This 642-nucleotide ribosomal RNA is filed under the name Triticum aestivum (bread wheat). RNAcentral describes it as "partial small subunit ribosomal RNA". The record is from RNAcentral. Lineage: Eukaryota; Viridiplantae; Streptophyta; Magnoliopsida; Poales; Poaceae.
AUGUUGCAAGGAAUUGGCGAUCUGCCAAGGUUUAGUUAGGUACUUGAAAAAGCAAAAGCAUUCAUUAUCUUUGUCUAUGGGCACACACGGACCUUGGACUGCAUGAGACACUUCUCUUCAGGGAAAGAGAUCAUAAGGCCAGGGGUCACUAGGUUUGCUUCUGCUUAUCUAACUUUGGAAAGCCUUCUAGAAAAAAAGGAUCAACUGAGGAAGAUGGUGGUUGAUGGUAGAUGGGACAAACUAAGAGAAGUUAAAUCAAAAAAAGGAAAGGUAGCAACAACUACGAUGAUGAGCAUGGCUUUUUAAUUCAACUCGAGAAUGAUGGCCAAGAAACAAAUGAUUAAGGAGAAGAAGAUCAUUGAUGUCCUCUUAUCCGCUGAAACUACCGAAGCUCAAGGUUUUCUUUUUGAGGGCGGAGAUGAUUAUGCAGAAAUCGUCUAUAGGGAUGAUGAUGAGGAGGAGAUGGAUAGUACAGGGAUGCCAGGGAGUGGCAUUGGAGAAGCAAUGGGAGUCAAUGAAUUGCUCGAGCCACGUAGAAGUGCAAGACUAAGACAACUUUAUGAAGAAGAAGAAUUCGAUUCUGAAGAAGAGGAGUUUGAUGAUGAUGAGGAGAUGCAUUCAGAUGAGGAGAAUGACUAUUGA